This is a long non-coding RNA of Passer domesticus (house sparrow), 513 nucleotides long. RefSeq lists it as uncharacterized. NCBI's taxonomy places the organism in Eukaryota, Metazoa, Chordata, Aves, Passeriformes, Passeridae. The record is from RefSeq and is a predicted model, not a curated record. The transcript is spliced from 3 exons.
CUCCCCCCUUUCCACCCCCACCCUCCUUGCUCAGUCUGAGGGUUUGGUGCGUGUCAAUCCUGCUGUUCUCCCUCACCUCCUGAGUGCCAGCAAUGAUUAAUAAAACCUGACUCGGCUGGAAGGGCAAGGAAAAAAACAACAAUACAGGACAUUUCUGGAGAUCGUCCUAAUCCAGCACCUCGGAGCCAAAUGAAUCAGCAGCUUCUCAUUCUGCCGGCAGGAUUAGUCAAUGUUCAUCCAGGCUCCUGGGAAGCGAGGUGUUUGGUUGCAGCAUCUCCCCGUGGCUUGGAGAGCACCACAUCCACCUGGGAGCUGAGGUGCUCCCCUCAGCUUGGCUGUCUCUAAAGGACCACCCCUGCUUCUGCUCCUGGGGCUUUGGAAUGGGGAGAUCCAGCUCCUGGGGGGAAUCCCUGUGGUGAGUAAUGCUGCCUGGCGAGCGCCGGGAAAAGGCGGCUGCACAUAUGCUGCAGCUCAUCCUGCUCUUUUCCUGGAGCUCCCUCACUGUCUGGGUGC